GCACUAAGUACGAUAAAUCACUACGAACAUAAAUCGUAUACACCCCCCGGAAAGUUUACUGUAUGACUGACUGACUGACUGAAUGAAUGAAUGAAUGAAUGAAUGAAUGAAUGAACGAAUGAAUGAACGAUCAGAUGAAUAUUCCUUUAUGUAACCUGAAAAGUCCUUUAGGUAACCUGAUAGGUUACAUAAAGGAUGUGAUGGCCUUUAUGUAACC
This is a non-coding RNA of Paramuricea clavata, 217 nucleotides long. The record is from the annotation of a GenBank genome assembly. NCBI's taxonomy places the organism in Eukaryota, Metazoa, Cnidaria, Anthozoa, Malacalcyonacea, Plexauridae.